This 503-nucleotide ribosomal RNA is filed under the name uncultured bacterium. RNAcentral describes it as "partial 16S ribosomal RNA". It matches the Rfam family "Bacterial small subunit ribosomal RNA", at positions 28 to 523 of the family's 1533-position model. The record is from RNAcentral.
GAUGAACGCUAGCGAUAGGCCUAACACAUGCAAGUCGAGGGGCAGCAUAGAGUAGCAAUACUUUGAUGGCGACCGGCGCACGGGUGAGUAACACGUAUGCAACCUACCUACAUCAGGGGAAUAACCCGGAGAAAUUCGGACUAAUACCGCAUAAUACAGGGAUGCCGCAUGGCAAUAUUUGUUAAAGAUUUAUCGGAUGUAGAUGGGUAUGCGUUCAAUUAGCUAGUUGGUGAGGUAACGGAUCACCAAGGCAACGAUGGAUAGGGGAACUGAGAGGUUUGUCCCCCACACUGGAACUGAGACACGGACCAGACUCCUACGGGAGGCAGCAGUGAGGAAUAUUGGUCAAUGGACGAGAGUCUGAACCAGCCAAAUCGCGUGAAGGAAGACUGCCCUACGGGUUGUAAACUUCUUUUGUACAGGAAUAAAAGACAUUACGUGUAAUGUAUUGCAUGUACUGUACGAAUAAGCAUCGGCUAACUCCGUGCCAGCCGCCGCAGUAA